This 21-nucleotide non-coding RNA is filed under the name Arabidopsis thaliana (thale cress). Lineage: Eukaryota; Viridiplantae; Streptophyta; Magnoliopsida; Brassicales; Brassicaceae. The record is from RNAcentral.
UACAAAGGGAGCGUAAAGCCA